This 72-nucleotide transfer RNA is filed under the name Tursiops truncatus (common bottlenose dolphin). RNAcentral's name for it is "tRNA-Asp (GTC) (tRNA-Asp-GTC-18-1)". It matches the Rfam family "tRNA". Rfam says of the family: Transfer RNA (tRNA) molecules are approximately 80 nucleotides in length. Their secondary structure includes four short double-helical elements and three loops (D, anti-codon, and T loops). Further hydrogen bonds mediate the characteristic L-shaped molecular structure. tRNAs have two regions of fundamental functional importance: the anti-codon, which is responsible for specific mRNA codon recognition, and the 3' end, to which the tRNAs corresponding amino acid is attached (by aminoacyl-tRNA synthetases). tRNAs cope with the degeneracy of the genetic code in two manners: having more than one tRNA (with a specific anti-codon) for a particular amino acid; and 'wobble' base-pairing, i.e. permitting non-standard base-pairing at the 3rd anti-codon position. The record is from Rfam by way of RNAcentral. Lineage: Eukaryota; Metazoa; Chordata; Mammalia; Artiodactyla; Delphinidae. RNAcentral also lists the same sequence under 1 other name.
UCCCUGGCGGUCCAGUGGUUAGGAGUCGGCACUGUCACUGCCGUGCCCUGGGUUCAAUCCCUGGUCAGGGAA